Molecule: ribosomal RNA, 424 nt
Filed under: uncultured bacterium
Lineage: Bacteria
Description: partial 16S ribosomal RNA
Rfam family: Bacterial small subunit ribosomal RNA
Source: RNAcentral
AAUAUUGGACAAUGGGCGAAAGCCUGAUCCAGCCAUGCCGCGUGUGUGCAGAAGGUCUUCGGAUUGUAAAGCAAUUGAAGUUGGGAGGAAUGGUUGUAGGUUAAUACCCUGCAAUCUUGACGUUACCAACAGAAUAAGUACUGGCUAACUUCGUGCCAUCCACCGCGGUAAUACGAAGGGAGCAAGCGUUAUCCGGAUUUACUGGGCGUAAAGCGCGCGUAGUUGGUUCGUUAAGUUGGAAGUGAAAGCCCCGGGCUCAACCUGGGAACUGCAUCCAAAACUGGCGAGCUAGAGUACGGUAGAGGGUGGUGGAAUUACCUGUGUAGCGGUGAAAUGCGUCGAUAUAGGAAGGAACACCAGUGGCGAAGGCGACCACCUGGACUGAUACUGACACUGAGGUGCGAAAGCGUGGGGAGCAAACAGG